GAUGAACGCUAGCGGCAGGCCUAAUACAUGCAAGUCGAACGGGAUCCAGAUCAAAGCUUGCUUUGGUCUGGUGAGAGUGGCGCACGGGUGCGUAACGCGUGAGCAACCUACCCUUGUCAGGGGGAUAGCCCGGCGAAAGUCGGAUUAAUACCGCAUGACAUCAUUGAGAGGCAUCUUUCGAUGAUCAAAGAUUUAUCGGACAAGGAUGGGCUCGCGUGACAUUAGCUAGUUGGUAAGGUAACGGCUUACCAAGGCUGCGAUGUCUAGGGGCUCUGAGAGGAGAAUCCCCCACACUGGUACUGAGACACGGACCAGACUCCUACGGGAGGCAGCAGUAAGGAAUAUUGGUCAAUGGACGGAAGUCUGAACCAGCCAUGCCGCGUGCAGGAGGACGGCCCUAUGGGUUGUAAACUGCUUUUAUACGGGAACAAACGUCGGUACGUGUACCGGUCUGAGUGUACCGUAAGAAUAAGGAUCGGCUAACUCCGU
This 489-nucleotide ribosomal RNA is filed under the name uncultured bacterium. RNAcentral describes it as "partial 16S ribosomal RNA". It matches the Rfam family "Bacterial small subunit ribosomal RNA", at positions 28 to 506 of the family's 1533-position model. The record is from RNAcentral.